RNAcentral lists this transfer RNA (73 nucleotides) under Synechococcus sp. Its description in RNAcentral is "tRNA-Asn". It matches the Rfam family "tRNA". From Rfam's summary of the family: Transfer RNA (tRNA) molecules are approximately 80 nucleotides in length. Their secondary structure includes four short double-helical elements and three loops (D, anti-codon, and T loops). Lineage: Bacteria; Bacillati; Cyanobacteriota; Cyanophyceae; Synechococcales; Synechococcaceae. The record is from RNAcentral. RNAcentral also lists the same sequence under 1 other name.
UCCUCGGUAGCUCAGCGGUAGAGCGGUCGACUGUUAAUCGAUUGGUCGCAGGUUCGAAUCCCGCCCGGGGAGC